Molecule: ribosomal RNA, 233 nt
Filed under: uncultured bacterium
Lineage: Bacteria
Description: partial 16S ribosomal RNA
Rfam family: Bacterial small subunit ribosomal RNA
Source: RNAcentral
CGGGACGGGUGAGUAAUGUCUGGGAAACUGCCUGAUGGAGGGGGGUAACUACUGGAAACGGUAGCUAAUACCGCAUAACGUCGCAAGACCAAAGAGGGGGACCUUCGGGCCUCUUGCCAUCGGAUGCGCCCAGAUGGGAUUAGCUAGUAGGUGGGGUAACGGCUCACCUAGGCGACGAUCCCUAGCUGGUCUGAGAGGAUGACCAGCCACACUGGAACUGAGACACGGUCCAG